Long non-coding RNA from Halichondria panicea, 588 nucleotides. RefSeq lists it as uncharacterized. Lineage: Eukaryota; Metazoa; Porifera; Demospongiae; Suberitida; Halichondriidae. The record is from RefSeq and is a predicted model, not a curated record. The transcript has 2 exons.
GACGUCGAUGUGGGUGAGCUGGGGAACUCUGUUAACUGUGUAGGGCUUCCUAGCCACUCUCAGGGGAUUCUCUCCAUAACCAGGCUGUCCAUAGCUGGAAUAAAAGAAAGGAUUUCUAGGAGCAGAAUACUUGUAGUAUCUGAAAGUUUGUCUCUAUCCAAUACUGAAAGAUGAUGGCAGGAACAGGGUAUCCUGCAUAGUCUACAUUGAUGUUGAGUCGAUAAUAGACCUCUCUCCCAGUGAUGUAAGUAAUCUACUUAGUUAAAAAUCUACAGUGGAACCUCUGUUAACAACCACCUCCGAAAAAAGUGUGGGGAUAAAGUCAAUCUACAAUCCAGGACCGGGUCCAGAUUGUUGUGAUAAUUGUACUAAGACUAAAGACUUCAUCGUAAGCAUCAUGAGACGGUUGUUCCUUCGUUUACAUAUGUAGCCCAAUAUAUUGCUUACCCCCAACAACACUAAAAUUUCUACACGCAGUACGGCUUUAGCCUUAACCCCCCCAAAAUAUAUGCGUGUAACGAUUUCAUUGUUUUUGUGGCAGUGUGUCAUGUGAUGUGAUUGAGUCUUGAUAAUUAUGAUAAAUAAAGA